This is a long non-coding RNA of Pantherophis guttatus, 273 nucleotides long. RefSeq lists it as uncharacterized. Lineage: Eukaryota; Metazoa; Chordata; Lepidosauria; Squamata; Colubridae. The record is from RefSeq and is a predicted model, not a curated record.
CAGGUCCCUUUUCCAAAAAUGAAAGUCACAUUCUAUUUCAUAACACAAGCACAGAUCCACUUUGAAAGAAUAGAAUUUCCUGAUCCAGAGAAGAAUCCAGAGGAAAGAUAUCAGACAUUUAAAUAAUUGGAAAGAUAAUAUGGCUUCAUCAGUUUAUCAUUAGCAAUUUCCUCUGUCUAAGCAAAACUACAGAAGAAAGGAAUUCAAUCAAUCACAUGGUCCCUGGUGGAAUGAUACCAGCAUGGCUCAUAUCAUGCUAACCAAUAAUGUGGU